Molecule: ribosomal RNA, 468 nt
Filed under: uncultured bacterium
Lineage: Bacteria
Description: partial 16S ribosomal RNA
Rfam family: Bacterial small subunit ribosomal RNA
Source: RNAcentral
GACGAACGCUGGCGGCGUGCUUAACACAUGCAAGUCGAACGGAAAGGCCCUGCUUUUGUGGGGUGCUCGAGUGGCGAACGGGUGAGUAACACGUGAGUAACCUGCCCUUGACUUUGGGAUAACUUCAGGAAACUGUGGCUAAUACCGGAUAGGAGCUCCCGCUGCAUGGUGGGGGUUGGAAAGUUUCGGCGGUUGGGGAUGGACGCGCGGCUUAUCAGCUUGUUGGUGGGGUAGUGGAUUACCAAGGCUUUGACGGGUAGCCGGCCUGAGAGGGUGACCGGCCACAUUGGGCCUGAGAUACGGCCCAGACUCCAACGGGAGGCAGCGGUGGGGAAUAUUACACAGUGGGCGGAAGCCUGAUGCAGCGACGCCGCGUGCGGGAUGACGGCCUGCGGGUUGUAAACCGCUUUCGCCUGUGACGAAGCGUGAGUGACGGUAAUGGGUAAAGAAGCACCGGCUAACUACGUG